UGUUUACCAAAAAUAUAAGCCUCCACAAAAUCAUGAGAUGAUAUGGGGGCUCGAAGCCUGCUCAGUGCCGGAAAAUUAAGGAAGUUGGUAACCUGAUGACAAUGGAGCCGACAACUGUAGACCAAGUGAACAACAAUAGUAACUAUAACGGUCUUAAAGUAGAAAAUUUCUUGUCUGUUAAGUUACAACUGAAUGCAGA
This is a non-coding RNA of Nicotiana attenuata, 199 nucleotides long. NCBI's taxonomy places the organism in Eukaryota, Viridiplantae, Streptophyta, Magnoliopsida, Solanales, Solanaceae. The record is from Rfam.